UCGAAUGCGGCUGUCCCGGGUAAGCUUCGUAAUAAAAUUUUCCCUCCAAACACCCUGGGGGGUUGGGGGGUUCGGCCCAAACUGUGUUCCAACCGGUUAACGGGGGGUUUGGGUCUCCCCCCCGGGAGAAGAGCCCUUGGAAAACCGGUUUUUUCACUUCCAAGGGAGGCCAGCCGGCGCGCCAAAUUUCCCCCAUUCCCGCACCGGGGGGAGUUUGGGACAAUUAAUUCUGAACCAAGGGCUCUUUUGGGUUCUUGUAAUUGGAAAGGAGUACAAUUUAAAUCCCUUAACGAGGAACAAUUGGAGGCCAAGUCUGGUCCCAGCAGCCGCGGUAAUUCCAGCUCCAAUAGCGUAUAUUAAAGUUGUUGUGGUUAAAAAGCUCGUAGUUGAACCUUGGGCCUGGCUGGCCGGUCCGCCUCACCGCGUGUACUGGUCCGGCCGGGCCUUUCCCUCUGUGGAACCCCAUGCCCUUCACUGGGUGUGGCGGGGAAACAGGACUUUUACUGUGAAAAAAUUAGAGUGCUCCAGGCAGGCCUAUGCUCGAAUACAUUAGCAUGGAAUAAUAGAAUAGGACGUGUGGUUCUAUUUUGUUGGUUUCUAGGACCGCCGUAAUGAUUAAUAGGGACAGUCGGGGGCAUCAGUAUUCAAUUGUCAGAGGUGAAAUUCUUGGAUUUAUUGAAGACUAACUACUGCGAAAGCAUUUGCCAAGGAUGUUUUCAUUAAUCAGGAACGAAAGUUAGGGGAUCGAAGACGAUCAGAUACCGUCGUAGUCUUAACCAUAAACUAUGCCGACUAGGGAUCGGACGGUGUUAUUUUUUGACCCGUUCGGCACCUUACGAGAAAUCAAAGUGCUUGGGCUCCAGGGGGAGUAUGGUCGCAAGGCUGAAACUUAAAGAAAUUGACGGAAGGGCACCACCAGGGGUGGAGCCUGCGGCUUAAUUUGACUCAACACGGGGAAACUCACCAGGUCCAGACACAAUGAGGAUUGACAGAUUGAGAGCUCUUUCUUGAUUUUGUGGGUGGUGGUGCAUGGCCGUUCUUAGUUGGUGGAGUGAUUUGUCUGCUUAAUUGCGAUAACGAACGAGACCUUAACCUGCUAAAUAGCCCGUAUUGCUUUGGCAGUACGCUGGCUUCUUAGAGGGACUAUCGGCUCAAGCCGAUGGAAGUUUGAGGCAAUAACAGGUCUGUGAUGCCCUUAGAUGUUCUGGGCCGCACGCGCGCUACACUGACGGAGCCAGCGAGUACUUCCUUGUCCGAAAGGUCCGGGUAAUCUUGUUAAACUCCGUCGUGCUGGGGAUAGAGCAUUGCAAUUAUUGCUCUUCAACGAGGAAUCCCUAGUAAGCGCAAGUCAUCAGCUUGCGUUGAUUACGUCCCUGCCCUUUGUACACACCGCCCGUCGCUACUACCGAUUGAAUGGCUCAGUGAGGCGUCCGGACUGGCCCAGAGAGGUGGGCAACUACCACUCAGGGCCGGAAAGCUCUCCAAACUCGGUCAUUAGAGAAGUUGAGGGGAACGGCAC
Molecule: ribosomal RNA, 1519 nt
Filed under: Fusarium oxysporum
Lineage: Eukaryota; Fungi; Ascomycota; Sordariomycetes; Hypocreales; Nectriaceae
Description: SSU rRNA
Rfam family: Eukaryotic small subunit ribosomal RNA
Source: RNAcentral